GACGAACGCUGGCGGCGUGCUUAACACAUGCAAGUCGAACGGAAAGGCCCUGCUUUUGUGGGGUGCUCGAGUGGCGAACGGGUGAGUAACACGUGAGUAACCUGCCCUUGACUUUGGGAUAACUUCAGGAAACUGGGGCUAAUACCGGAUAGGAGCUCCUGCUGCAUGGUGGGGGUUGGAAAGUUUCGGCGGUUGGGGAUGGACUCGCGGCUUAUCAGCUUGUUGGUGGGGUAGUGGCUUACCAAGGCUUUGACGGGUAGCCGGCCUGAGAGGGUGACCGGCCACAUUGGGACUGAGAUACGGCGCAGACUCCUACGGGAGGCAGCAGUGGAGAAUAUUGCACAAUGGGCGGAAGCCUGAGGCAGCAACGCCGCGUGCGGGAUGACGGCCUUCGGGUUGUAAACCGCUUUCGCCUGUGACGAAGCGUGAGUGACGGUAAUGGGUAAAGAAGCACCGGCUAACUACGUG
This 468-nucleotide ribosomal RNA is filed under the name uncultured bacterium. RNAcentral's name for it is "partial 16S ribosomal RNA". It matches the Rfam family "Bacterial small subunit ribosomal RNA", at positions 28 to 507 of the family's 1533-position model. The record is from RNAcentral.